CUCGGUCCAUCAGUGUGCCUCGCAAGGGGCCUCCAUUGGUGUGUUAACCGGCCCGCCCGUCCCCUCCUUCUGGAUUCCCGUUCCUGCUAUUGAUUUAGUGGGAACGUCACAGGGGGUCAGUCGUGUAAAAAGCGGCUGGUCUCUGGGGCCCAGAUCGUUUACCGUGAAAAAAUUAGAGUGUUCAAAGCGGGCAGAUAUUUUUCCUGCCACCGAAUACAUUAGCAUGGGAUAAUGGAAUAGGACCCUGACCUCCUAUUUUCAGUUGGUUUUGUUUACAGCGAGGUUAUAUCAGGGUAAUGAUUAAUAGGGAUAGUUGGGGGCAUUAAUAUUUAAUUGUCAGAGGUGAAAUUCUUGGAUUUAUGAAAGAUUAACUUCUGCGAAAGCGUUUGCCAAGGAUGUUUUCAUUAAUCAAGAACGAAAGUUAGGGGAUCGAAGACGAUCAGAUACCGUCGUAGUCUUAACCAUAAACGAUGCCGACCAGCGAUUAGGAGACGUUGAAUACAAAACACCGCCGUUAAUCCUUUCGGGGGUUAAUGGUUGGUGAAUGACUCCCCUAGCAGCUUGUGAGAAAUCAUAAGUCUUUGGGUUCCGGGGGGAGUAUGGUCGCAAGGCUGAAACUUAAAGGAAUUGACGGAAGGGCACCACCAGGAGUGGAGCCUGCGGCUUAAUUUGACUCAACACGGGGAAACUUACCAGGUCCGGACAUAGU
This 709-nucleotide ribosomal RNA is filed under the name Acanthamoeba sp. MN-ISP64-T5. Its description in RNAcentral is "SSU rRNA". It matches the Rfam family "Eukaryotic small subunit ribosomal RNA", at positions 713 to 1234 of the family's 1831-position model. The record is from RNAcentral. Lineage: Eukaryota; Discosea; Longamoebia; Acanthamoebidae.